AGUGACAGGUGGUGCAUGGUUGUCGUCAGCUCGUGUCGUGAGAUGUUGGGUUAAGUCCCGCAACGAGCGCAACCCUUAUUGUUAGUUGCCAUCAUUCAGUUGGGCACUCUAAGGAGACUGCCGGUGACAAACCGGAGGAAGGUGGGGAUGACGUCAAAUCAUCAUGCCCCUUAUGACCUGGGCUACACACGUGCUACAAUGGGAGAUACAAAGAGUCGCUAGCUCGCGAGGUUAAGCUAAUCUCAUAAAAUUUUUCUCAGUUCGGAUUGUAGGCUGCAACUCGCCUACAUGAAGCCGGAAUCGCUAGUAAUCGCGGAUCAGCAUGCCGCGGUGAAUACGUUCCCGGGCCUUGUACACACCGCCCGUCACACCACGAAAGUUUGUAACACCCGAAGUCGGUG
This 401-nucleotide ribosomal RNA is filed under the name Kurthia gibsonii. RNAcentral describes it as "bacterial SSU rRNA". It matches the Rfam family "Bacterial small subunit ribosomal RNA", at positions 1030 to 1432 of the family's 1533-position model. Lineage: Bacteria; Bacillati; Bacillota; Bacilli; Caryophanales; Caryophanaceae. The record is from RNAcentral.